AUAUUAGCAUGUGGACACUUUAUGUACAUCUCUGUAUAUCUCUCCCAUGCUUCAUGAAACUUUUCAUUAGGCUUCUGUGUGAAUGUCAAAAUCUUCCUAUUGUAAUU
RNAcentral lists this small nucleolar RNA (107 nucleotides) under Prunus persica (peach). RNAcentral's name for it is "Plant small nucleolar RNA R71". It matches the Rfam family "Plant small nucleolar RNA R71". From Rfam's summary of the family: R71 is a member of the C/D box family of snoRNAs containing the C (UGAUGA) and D (CUGA) box motifs. Multiple nearly identical copies of this snoRNA have been identified in Arabidopsis, and it is thought to function as a 2'-O-ribose methylation guide for 18S ribosomal RNA. The record is from Rfam by way of RNAcentral. Lineage: Eukaryota; Viridiplantae; Streptophyta; Magnoliopsida; Rosales; Rosaceae.